UUACACAAUGCGCUAGAGAACAAGUUUAUUUACUUUUGAACUUUUUCUACAAACAGAAAUUUCUCGCAAUAUUUUUUAUUAAUAAUUGAAAGUCAAGUAUCAAACCGAUACGGAAAUAAGCCCACGUGAAACUCAUAUAUACCAAGGUAAAUUACCGACAGUCAAGAAGUUGCUUUCGACUUCAAGUUCUUCACCAUAUCAUCCCACCUCAGCAAUGAUCAACACCAUUUAGUAACUUCUUCUGAUUUACCCACCUGUCUCCAUCAGUCCAUAUGGUCCCCGCCUUCUUAUCAUGCUCCUUCACGCCUUGUUACUGCUGACAAACAAACCACAUGUAAAUAUCUUACAGUACAUAAUAUAUUUACAACCGCGCUAUGAAUAGAUAACUCCAAAUGUAGCUUUCAGAAUUGGUCAUGCAUUCUCUGUUUUCAUACCAAGAAUGCAUUUUAUAAUUGUACUGAAACCUGUAACUGUAAACAGUUCAGGUAUAGAAAAAAUAAAAGGCCUGUCACAAUAGCCCAGCAUAACUUUGUUUUCGGUUUGCAGGACGAAAAACUGCUAAUAUGGUACUCCAAAGAGAGGGAAAAAAGUCUGAGCUUGAGUUCUGUGUCAAGUGUGGUUCUCGGACAGAAAACGGUAUCUGGUUUUCUUCCCUAAACACUUUUUAUUGAUUUAAGUAUAAGAAGACAUACAUAUUCUUAGAAUGUCUGUAUUUGCAGACAAACCUUUUGCGUUUGCAUUGGCCAGAAAAGGAACAUCACUCCUUGUCAGUCAUAUACAAGAAUGGUGAAUG
This 793-nucleotide long non-coding RNA is filed under the name Triticum aestivum (bread wheat). RNAcentral's name for it is "long non-coding RNA (TAES_LNC010575)". Lineage: Eukaryota; Viridiplantae; Streptophyta; Magnoliopsida; Poales; Poaceae. The record is from RNAcentral.